GACAGAGGGUGCAAACGUUGUUCGGAAUUACUGGGCGUAAAGCGUGUGUAGGCGGCCAUGUAAGUCAGGUGUGAAAGCCCCGGGCUUAACCUGGGAAUGGCAGUGGAAACUAGGCGACUUGAAUCUGGCAGAGGGGGGUGGAAUGCCACGUGUAGCAGUGAAAUGCGUAGAGAUGUGGCGGAACACCGAUGGCGAAGGCAGCCCCCUGGGUCGAGAUUGACGCUCAGGCACGAAAGCGUGGGGAGCAAACAGG
RNAcentral lists this ribosomal RNA (253 nucleotides) under uncultured bacterium. Its description in RNAcentral is "partial 16S ribosomal RNA". It matches the Rfam family "Bacterial small subunit ribosomal RNA", at positions 524 to 776 of the family's 1533-position model. The record is from RNAcentral.